RNAcentral lists this ribosomal RNA (425 nucleotides) under uncultured bacterium. RNAcentral's name for it is "bacterial SSU rRNA". It matches the Rfam family "Bacterial small subunit ribosomal RNA", at positions 359 to 775 of the family's 1533-position model. The record is from RNAcentral.
GAAUCUUCCGCAAUGGACGAAAGUCUGACGGAGCAACGCCGCGUGAGUGAUGAAGGCUUUCGGGUCGUAAAACUCUGUUGUUAGGGAAGAACAAGUGCUAGUUGAAUAAGCUGGCACCUUGACGGUACCUAACCAGAAAGCCACGGCUAGCUACGUGCCAGCAGCCGCGGUAAUACGUAGGUGGCAAGCGUUAUCCGGAAUUAUUGGGCGUAAAGCGCGCGCAGGUGGUUUCUUAAGUCUGAUGUGAAAGCCCACGGCUCAACCGUGGAGGGUCAUUGGAAACUGGGAGACUUGAGUGCAGAAGAGGAAAGUGGAAUUCCAUGUGUAGCGGUGAAAUGCGUAGAGAUAUGGAGGAACACCAGUGGCGAAGGCGACUUUCUGGUCUGUAACUGACACUGAGGCGCGAAAGCGUGGGGAGCAAACAG